GGGUUGUGAGGUUAAGCGACUAAGCGUACACGGUGGAUGCCCUGGCAGUCAGAGGCGAUGAAGGACGUGCUAAUCUGCGAUAAGCGUCGGUGAGGUGAUAUGAACCGUUAUAACCGGCGAUUUCCGAAUGGGGAAACCCAGUGUGUUUCGACACACUAUCAUUAACUGAAUCCAUAGGUUAAUGAGGCGAACCGGGGGAACUGAAACAUCUAAGUACCCCGAGGAAAAGAAAUCAACCGAGAUUCCCCCAGUAGCGGCGAGCGAACGGGGAGGAGCCCAGAGCCUGAAUCAGUGUGUGUGUUAGUGGAAGCGUCUGGAAAGGCGCGCGAUACAGGGUGACAGCCCCGUACACAAAAAUGCACAUAUUGUGAGCUCGAUGAGUAGGGCGGGACACGUGGUAUCCUGUCUGAAUAUGGGGGGACCAUCCUCCAAGGCUAAAUACUCCUGACUGACCGAUAGUGAACCAGUACCGUGAGGGAAAGGCGAAAAGAACCCCGGCGAGGGGAGUGAAAAAGAACCUGAAACUGUGUACGUACAAGCAGUGGGAGCCUCUUAAUGGGGUGACUGCGUACCUUUUGUAUAAUGGGUCAGCGACUUAUAUUCUGUAGCAAGGUUAACCGAAUAGGGGAGCCGAAGGGAAACCGAGUCUUAACUGGGCGUUAAGUUGCAGGGUAUAGACCCGAAACCCGGUGAUCUAGCCAUGGGCAGGUUGAAGGUUGGGUAACACUAACUGGAGGACCGAACCGACUAAUGUUGAAAAAUUAGCGGAUGACUUGUGGCUGGGGGUGAAAGGCCAAUCAAACCGGGAGAUAGCUGGUUCUCCCCGAAAGCUAUUUAGGUAGCGCCUCGUGAAUUCAUCUCCGGGGGUAGAGCACUGUUUCGGCAAGGGGGUCAUCCCGACUUACCAACCCGAUGCAAACUGCGAAUACCGGAGAAUGUUAUCACGGGAGACACACGGCGGGUGCUAACGUCCGUCGUGAAGAGGGAAACAACCCAGACCGCCAGCUAAGGUCCCAAAGUCAUGGUUAAGUGGGAAACGAUGUGGGAAGGCCCAGACAGCCAGGAUGUUGGCUUAGAAGCAGCCAUCAUUUAAAGAAAGCGUAAUAGCUCACUGGUCGAGUCGGCCUGCGCGGAAGAUGUAACGGGGCUAAACCAUGCACCGAAGCUGCGGCAGCGACACUAUGUGUUGUUGGGUAGGGGAGCGUUCUGUAAGCCUGUGAAGGUGUACUGUGAGGUAUGCUGGAGGUAUCAGAAGUGCGAAUGCUGACAUAAGUAACGAUAAAGCGGGUGAAAAGCCCGCUCGCCGGAAGACCAAGGGUUCCUGUCCAACGUUAAUCGGGGCAGGGUGAGUCGACCCCUAAGGCGAGGCCGAAAGGCGUAGUCGAUGGGAAACAGGUUAAUAUUCCUAUACUUGGUGUUACUGCGAAGGGGGGACGGAGAAGGCUAUGUUGGCCGGGCGACGGUUGUCCCGGUUUAAGCGUGUAGGCUGGUUUUCCAGGCAAAUCCGGAAAAUCAAGGCUGAGGCGUGAUGACGAGGCACUACGGUGCUGAAGCGACAAAUGCCCUGCUUCCAGGAAAAGCCUCUAAGCAUCAGGUAACAUCAAAUCGUACCCCAAACCGACACAGGUGGUCAGGUAGAGAAUACCAAGGCGCUUGAGAGAACUCGGGUGAAGGAACUAGGCAAAAUGGUGCCGUAACUUCGGGAGAAGGCACGCUGAUAUGUAGGUGAAGCGACUUGCUCGUGGAGCUGAAAUCAGUCGAAGAUACCAGCUGGCUGCAACUGUUUAUUAAAAACACAGCACUGUGCAAACACGAAAGUGGACGUAUACGGUGUGACGCCUGCCCGGUGCCGGAAGGUUAAUUGAUGGGGUUAGCGGUAACGCGAAGCUCUUGAUCGAAGCCCCGGUAAACGGCGGCCGUAACUAUAACGGUCCUAAGGUAGCGAAAUUCCUUGUCGGGUAAGUUCCGACCUGCACGAAUGGCGUAAUGAUGGCCAGGCUGUCUCCACCCGAGACUCAGUGAAAUUGAACUCGCUGUGAAGAUGCAGUGUACCCGCGGCAAGACGGAAAGACCCCGUGAACCUUUACUAUAGCUUGACACUGAACAUUGAGCCUUGAUGUGUAGGAUAGGUGGGAGGCUUUGAAGUGUGGACGCCAGUCUGCAUGGAGCCGACCUUGAAAUACCACCCUUUAAUGUUUGAUGUUCUAACGUGGGCCCCUUACCGGGGUUGCGGACAGUGUCUGGUGGGUAGUUUGACUGGGGCGGUCUCCUCCUAAAGAGUAACGGAGGAGCACGAAGGUUGGCUAAUCCUGGUCGGACAUCAGGAGGUUAGUGCAAUGGCAUAAGCCAGCUUGACUGCGAGCGUGACGGCGCGAGCAGGUGCGAAAGCAGGUCAUAGUGAUCCGGUGGUUCUGAAUGGAAGGGCCAUCGCUCAACGGAUAAAAGGUACUCCGGGGAUAACAGGCUGAUACCGCCCAAGAGUUCAUAUCGACGGCGGUGUUUGGCACCUCGAUGUCGGCUCAUCACAUCCUGGGGCUGAAGUAGGUCCCAAGGGUAUGGCUGUUCGCCAUUUAAAGUGGUACGCGAGCUGGGUUUAGAACGUCGUGAGACAGUUCGGUCCCUAUCUGCCGUGGGCGCUGGAGAACUGAGGGGGGCUGCUCCUAGUACGAGAGGACCGGAGUGGACGCAUCACUGGUGUUCGGGUUGUCAUGCCAAUGGCACUGCCCGGUAGCUAAAUGCGGAAGAGAUAAGUGCUGAAAGCAUCUAAGCACGAAACUUGCCCCGAGAUGAGUUCUCCCUGACUCCUUGAGAGUCCUGAAGGAACGUUGAAGACGACGACGUUGAUAGGCCGGGUGUGUAAGCGCAGCGAUGCGUUGAGCUAACCGGUACUAAUGAACCGUGAGGCUUAACCUUACAACGCCGAAG
Molecule: ribosomal RNA, 2925 nt
Filed under: Escherichia coli
Lineage: Bacteria; Pseudomonadati; Pseudomonadota; Gammaproteobacteria; Enterobacterales; Enterobacteriaceae
Description: bacterial LSU rRNA
Rfam family: Bacterial large subunit ribosomal RNA
Source: RNAcentral